RNAcentral lists this ribosomal RNA (303 nucleotides) under uncultured bacterium. Its description in RNAcentral is "partial 16S ribosomal RNA". It matches the Rfam family "Bacterial small subunit ribosomal RNA", at positions 507 to 807 of the family's 1533-position model. The record is from RNAcentral.
AGCAGCAGCCGCGGGAACACGUAGGGUGCAAGCGUUAAUCGGAAUUACUGGGCGUAAAGCGUGCGCAGGCGGUGUUGUAAGACUGAUGUGAAAUCCCCGGGCUCAACCUGGGAACUGCAUUUGUGACUGGCAGGCUAGAGUAUGGCAGAGGGGGGUGGAAUUCCGCGUGUAGCAGUGAAAUGCGUAGAUAUGCGGAGGAACACCGAUGGCGAAGGCAAUCCCCUGGGCCUGCACUGACGCUCAUGCACGAAAGCGUGGGGAGCAAACAGGAUUAGAUACCCGCGUAGUCCCUGUCUCUUAUAC